Molecule: non-coding RNA, 114 nt
Organism: Triticum aestivum (bread wheat)
Lineage: Eukaryota; Viridiplantae; Streptophyta; Magnoliopsida; Poales; Poaceae
Source: Rfam
AAUAUACUCCCUCCGUCCGGAACUACUUGUCAUAGAAAUGGAUGUAUCUAACGUAUUUUAGUUAUAGAUACAUCCAUUUCCGCGACAAGUAAUUUCAGACGGAGGGAGUAGUAC